Molecule: unclassified non-coding RNA, 286 nt
Filed under: Hevea brasiliensis (rubber tree)
Lineage: Eukaryota; Viridiplantae; Streptophyta; Magnoliopsida; Malpighiales; Euphorbiaceae
Source: RNAcentral
AGAGAGAGAGAGAGAGAGAAGUCUAACCUGUUUGGAAGUGGAGAAAGUGGAAGAAAUAGAUGGGUAGUAGCUUUCUCUUCCUCUUUCUCUCACGCAUUCAACUACACUUUGUUCUUCUCUUCCUCUUCUCUCUCUACAGAAUCCCCAUUUCUGCAAUUUCAAUUCAUUUUUCUGCUUACUCUUUAAAUUCCUUCUUGUCGAAUUUUGCUAAUUUCGAAAAAAAUUAAAUAAAUAAAUAGAACCCUUUAUCGAUCGAUCCCUCUCCCCCGCUUGGGUUUUUUUUUUU